Molecule: ribosomal RNA, 253 nt
Filed under: uncultured bacterium
Lineage: Bacteria
Description: partial 16S ribosomal RNA
Rfam family: Bacterial small subunit ribosomal RNA
Source: RNAcentral
UACGUAGGGCGCAAGCGUUAUCCGGAAUUAUUGGGCGUAAAGAGCUCGUAGGCGGUUUGUCGCGUCUGCCGUGAAAGUCCGGGGCUCAACUCCGGAUCUGCGGUGGGUACGGGCAGACUAGAGUGAUGUAGGGGAGACUGGAAUUCCUGGUGUAGCGGUGAAAUGCGUAGAUAUCAGAAGGAACACCAGUGGCGAAGGCGGAUCUCUGGACAGCUCCUGACGCUGAGGCGCGAAGGCUAGGGGAGCAAACGGG